RNAcentral lists this ribosomal RNA (823 nucleotides) under Platypleura hilpa. RNAcentral's name for it is "SSU rRNA". It matches the Rfam family "Eukaryotic small subunit ribosomal RNA", at positions 52 to 777 of the family's 1831-position model. Lineage: Eukaryota; Metazoa; Arthropoda; Insecta; Hemiptera; Cicadidae. The record is from RNAcentral.
UGCAAGUCUCAGUACAUGCCGCACUAAGGUGAAACCGCAAAAGGCUCAUUAAAUCAGUUAUGGUUCCUUGGAUCUUAAACAGUUACUUGGAUAACUGUGGUAAUUCUAGAGCUAAUACAUGCAAACAAGUCCCGACCAGAGAUGGGAGGGACGCUUUUAUUAGAUCAAAACCGAUCGGCGUCCGGCUCCGGCCGGCGCCGUCUCUUUUGGUGACUCUGGAUAACUUUUAGCCGAUCGCACGGUCACAGUACCGGCGACGCAUCUUUCAAAUGUCUGACUUAUCAACUGUCGAUGGUAGGCUCUGCGCCUACCAUGGUUGUAACGGGUAACGGGGAAUCAGGGUUCGAUUCCGGAGAGGGAGCCUGAGAAACGGCUACCACAUCCAAGGAAGGCAGCAGGCGCGCAAAUUACCCACUCCCGGCACGGGGAGGUAGUGACGAAAAAUAACGAUACGGGACUCAUCCGAGGCCCCGUAAUCGGAAUGAGUACACUUUAAAUACUUUAACGAGUACCAAUUGGAGGGCAAGUCUGGUGCCAGCAGCCGCGGUAAUUCCAGCUCCAAUAGCGUAUAUUAAAGUUGUUGCGGUUAAAAAGCUCGUAGUUGGAUCUGUGUGCCACGCUGUCGGUUCACCGCCCGUCGGUGUCAACUGGCAUGUCUGUGGGACGUCCUGUCGGUGGCGGUACGGGCUGCCGGCGCUGCGUAGGGGCACAACCCCGAAGCACGCCGGCGUGUCCCGGUCCGCCGAUCCAAUCCCGCCGCGGUGCUCUUCACUGAGUGUCGAGGUGGGCCGGCACGUUUACUUUGAACAAAUUAGAGUGCUCA